Long non-coding RNA from Lactuca sativa (garden lettuce), 1081 nucleotides. RefSeq lists it as uncharacterized. The record is from RefSeq and is a predicted model, not a curated record. Lineage: Eukaryota; Viridiplantae; Streptophyta; Magnoliopsida; Asterales; Asteraceae.
AUAACAUUUUUGAGCUGUGUUUUUGUGCAGGUUUAGUGAGAUAUAACUGAGUUCUUAUGAGUAAGUAAACUUCUUAUUUUCUCCUAAGCCUAGUUUGUUACCAACGAAAUAAGGUUAAUGACUACUUCUAUGUUUCCUGUCUAGCUUUAGUUUUAUUUUUCUGAUUAAAUAACUUGAUUCUAUGGAAACUAUUCAUGGCAGGUAAGUGAUCUAUUGUUGUAUGUUGUUUAUCAGGACUUCAAAAUAUCUUGAAGAUGAUAACCAGAUUGUUAACUUUAUUCCAGUUUGGAAAUAAAAGCCACCCUAAAAGUACAUGAUUCUUACCAUAUGGACAAUUCCUCGUUUCUUGCUCUGUUAAUGAGUUUAUUGAGGUUAAUUUUGUCAUUUAUAUGCUAUAUUAUAAUUUAAAUUAUGAGAUUCUCAAUGAUAUGGAAUUAGAUACAUUAAUGUGAAUAUUUAUCAGGUAUGGGAUCACAUUUGUAGUAAGCUUAAGAAAGUUUGUGAUACUUUCUUUUUACAUUGUAAUAAUUUCUUAUGUAUUGGUUUCAAUAUUAUGGUUUCCUUCUGUAGGAAUCCUCCAUGAUGCAUAAUGAUGUUGUUCUUUGUAUCAAUUUUAGUAGAAAUUCAGAGAUGCUUUCUUCCCGAUCACUAGAUGGGAAGAUUAGAGUUUAGAGAACAAGAAAUGGACAACAGUUGGAUAUAGCUUACCAGGUGGCAGGUAGUGCAUUCUCUUUUGAAAUAGAUCUGCUUACUUGUACAAGAUGAAGGGUAAGAAGAUGGCGAAAUGAGUAUAGAUCAAAUGGGUUAUUCCAAGCUCCGUUAAUCAAGAUUCGUCGGCAUCAUAACUUUGGGUUAAUGGAUUGGACGAGGUGGCAACACGUUUAGACUUGUUAAACCAUUAAUCAAUAUUUAUUGGAUUGAAAUGGGUUCUUUCAAGCUCUACUAAUCAAGAAUUAUGUUUUGGGUAUUAUUAGGACGCCGUUUAAACUUACUAAGCCUCUUGGAAGAUAAUCUUAUGUUGAAUAAUCAGAUUAUUGUUGUAAAACGAGUUAAUUUUUAAUUGAAGUAAUAUUUUUGUGUU